This 449-nucleotide ribosomal RNA is filed under the name uncultured bacterium. Its description in RNAcentral is "bacterial SSU rRNA". It matches the Rfam family "Bacterial small subunit ribosomal RNA", at positions 354 to 796 of the family's 1533-position model. The record is from RNAcentral.
GUGGGGAAUCUUCCGCAAUGGGCGAAAGCCUGACGGAGCAACGCCGCGUGAUCGAAUGAAGGCCUUCGGGUUGUAAAGAUCUGUUGACAGGGACGAAUAAGCAAUGCGAAUAGUUUUGUGUAUGACGGUACCUGUUUAGAAAGCUCCGGCUAACUACGUGCCAGCAGCCGCGGUAAUACGUAGGGAGCAAGCGUUGUCCGGAAUUACUGGGCGUAAAGGGCGCGUAGGUGGGCGCUUAAGUCAGGUGUGAAAACUCCGGGCUCAACCUGGAGACUGCACUUGAAACUGGGUGUCUUGAGGGCAGGAGAGGAAAGUGGAAUUCCUAGUGUAGCGGUGAAAUGCGUAGAUAUUAGGAGGAACACCAGUGGCGAAGGCGACUUUCUGGACUGUACCUGACGCUGAGGCGCGAAAGCGUGGGUAGCGAACGGGAUUAGAAACCCUAGUAGUCC